This 346-nucleotide unclassified non-coding RNA is filed under the name soil metagenome. RNAcentral describes it as "partial contains 5.8S ribosomal RNA, internal transcribed spacer 2, and large subunit ribosomal RNA". The stretch from base 1 to 120 matches the Rfam family "5.8S ribosomal RNA", at positions 35 to 154 of the family's 154-position model. The record is from RNAcentral.
GAUGAAGAACGUAGUAAAAUGCGAUAAGUAAUGUGAAUUGCAGAAUUCAGUGAAUCAUCGAAUCUUUGAACGCACAUUGCGCCCGCCAGUAUUCUGGCGGGCAUGCCUGUUCGAGCGUCAUUUCAACCCUCAAGCCCUCGGGUUUGGUGUUGGGGAUCGGCGAGCCUUUCUGGCAAGCCGGCCCCGAAAUCUAGUGGCGGUCUCGCUGCAGCCUCCAUUGCGUAGUAGUAAAACCCUCGCAACUGGAACGCGGCGCGGCCAAGCCGUUAAACCCCCAACUUCUGAAUGUUGACCUCGGAUCAGGUAGGAAUACCCGCUGAACUUAAGCAUAUCAAUAAGCGGAGGA